Culex pipiens (northern house mosquito) is the source of this 74-nucleotide non-coding RNA. The record is from Rfam. Lineage: Eukaryota; Metazoa; Arthropoda; Insecta; Diptera; Culicidae.
GGCUCCGUGGCUUAAUGGUUACAGCUUCUGCUUCACAAGCAGAAGGUUUAGGGUUCAAAUCCCGGUCGGUACCU